RNAcentral lists this long non-coding RNA (13138 nucleotides) under Capsicum annuum. Its description in RNAcentral is "long non-coding RNA (CANN_LNC013062)". Lineage: Eukaryota; Viridiplantae; Streptophyta; Magnoliopsida; Solanales; Solanaceae. The record is from RNAcentral.
AACAACAAUAGUCUUCAAAAACUCUUCCAUUAAUGUACAAAAGAUUGUUGCAUAUUUAACCCAAACAUAAACCCCCUAAAAUCCAAUCCCUUAAGCCUUCUUUGGUGACUUUUUGGCCUUUGGUGUCGAAGCCUUCUCCUCGGAAGCAGUAGAUUUCUUGGGCAACAGAACUGGGUUAAUGUUGGGGAGAACACCUCCACUUGCAAUAGUAACACCAGCCAACAACUUUCCCAGCUCUUCAUCAUUCCUCACUGCCAACAGCAAAUGCCUUGGAAUAAUCCUCGUCUUCUUAUUGUCCCUCGCCGCAUUUCCAGCCAACUCCAACACCUAUGAACCCAAAAUAGCAAAAACAUUAGUUAAAAAGUUACAGAUCUGAGAAGAAAAUCAAAUGGGGUUUUUAGUUUAUGUAUUUCUAGUACCUCAGCAGCAAGGUAUUCAAGAACAACUGCGAGAUAAAUAGGAGCACCAGAUCCAACACGCUGAGCAUAACGACCCUUCUUCAAGUAACGAGCAAUACGACCAACUGGAAACUGAAGACCAGCUUUCACUGACCUAGCUACAGCCUUCUUCUUUGAGCCACCCUUCCUUCCUCCGGCACCUUUGGGUGUCGUAGUAGCAUCCAUUUCUGUCAACAACUAAAUGUUUUGAAGAGAAAAAUAGAGAAUAAGCUUUGAGUGGUUUUUGCCUUUGAGAUUUGAAAGCUGACGAAGAAAAUGGAACGGUGGAGUUUGACAUUUAUAGGAUAGAGAUGGAUUGCCACGCUGGCGAUCCGUGUGAGUGGUAUUGUUAUUUCACGGUGCGGAUUUGUUGUUUUAAUGUAAGAUCGGACGGGUACCAAAAGCUUCAGAUUUUUGUAAUUUUGACGCCAAUAUACUUGGGACUGAAUUUUUUUGGAGACACUACAAUUUGUUGAUUACAUUUCAUUUUAUAUGGUGAUUAAAAAAUUAUAAAUUAAAUAAUAAAUUUUAUCAUUUUAUAUUUUACUCAUAUUAAUUACUUCAACAACAUAUUCAAUGUUUUCCCAUAUAGUGGGAUCUGGGAGGGCAGAGUGUACGCAGAUCAUACCAUUUCCUUAGAUAAAAUAGAGAGGCCGUUUCCGAUAGACUCCCGGUUUAGGACCGAUAACAGUAUAACAAACAUCAAACAUAAAUACAUAUAAAUUAGUACAGUUUGUAAAAUAAACUAACGGCACUAGCCAUAAGAUAAUAUUACAACCACAGGAUAAUACUAAAAACUAUCUAUUCGAAAUCAUAGAUAUCACUCAAUACCAUGAACAAAAAAUUUCAGACACAAAUAAAGAACACUCCCCUACUUUUACCGACGCACUCCCACCCCCUAACUCUCUACCCCAAUUUGUGUUCUCCACAUCUUCCUAUCAAGGGUCAUAUACUUUGUAAAAUAUAACUGCUCCAUAUCAUACCUAAUCACCUCCCUCCAAUAUUUCUUCUAUCUACCUCUGUCCUGCCUAAAAUCAUCCAUAGCCAGUGUCUCACACCUCUGUACUAGAGCAUCAAAGCCCAUCUUCAUCACAUGCACGAACCAACGUAACCUUACUUCCGCAUCUUGUCUUCCACCGAGGUCACUCCCACCUUCUCCUGAAUAAUCUCAUUUCUUGCCCUAUCUUUCCUAGUUUCACCACACAUUUAUCGUAACAUCCUCAUCUCCGCCACCUUCAACUUUAGGAUAUGGAAGUUCUUAACUGGUCAACACUCCGUUCCAUACAAUAUAAACGGUCGGACUGUCACUCUCUAAAACUUUCCUUUAAUUUUCGGGGGCACCUUCCUAUCACAUAAAACUUUUGAAGCGAGCCUCUAUUUCAACCACUCAGCCCCAAUACGAUGCAUGACAUCCUUGUCAAUCUCAACAUUACCCUGAAUCAUAGACCUCAAAUACUUGAAACUCUCCUUCUUCUGAAUGGGCUAAGAGUUCAACUUCACAACCACGUCAGCCUCUUGUGACACAUCACUAGACUUACACUCCAAGUACUCUGUCUUGGUCUUGUUUAACCGAAAUCCUUUAGACUCAAAGGUCUGUCUCCAAAUCAUCAACUUAUCAUUAAUUUCUUCCCGAGUCUCGUUAAUCAAUACCACACUAUCAGCAAAUAACAUACACCAAGGCACCUCCCCUUUAAUAUGUCGCGUCAAAAUUUUCAUCACCAUAGCAAAUAAAAAGGGGUAAGAGUCGAUCCCUGAUGCAACCCUGUCAAAAUCGAAAAGUGCUCUGAAUCUCACCUACCGUCCUUACCCGAGUCUUUGCGCCUUCAUACAUAUCCUGAAUCGAUCCAGUGUAUGCCACAAGUACCCCUUUAACCUCCAAGCACCUCCACAGAAUCUCCCUGGGAAUUUUGUCAUAAGCCUUUCCAAGAUCAAUAAACAUCAUGUGCAAGUCCUUCUUCCUCUCCCGAAACUGCUCCACUAAUCUCCUCACAAGAUGAAUGGCCUCAGUAGUCUAGUAACCUGGCAUGAAACCAAAUUGGUUUUCAGAGAUAGUCACGCUCCUUCUCAACCUCAACUCUACCAUCUUUUCUCAAACCUUCAUAAUAUUACUCAACAACUUAAUACCUCUAUAGUUGUUGUAACUCUGAAUGUCUCUUUUGUUCUUAUAUAAUGGAAUCAUUGUACUCUACCUCCAUGCUUCAAGCAUCUUCACCGCCCUAAAAAUGAUGUUAAACAACCCUGGUAACCACUCCAAACCUGCCCCUCUAGUGUUCUUCCAAAAAUCCACUAGAAUCUCGUCUGGCCCUAUUGCUCUACCCCGACGUAUCUUGCGAAUAAACCCCUUGACCUCCUCAACCUCGAUACUCCUACAAUAACCAUAGUCGCAACACUCCUCAGAUUUCUCCAAGUCCCCCGACACGAAACCUUUGUCCCCCUUAUCGUUCAAAAGUUUAUGAAAGUAAGACUGUCACAUCUUCCUAAUGAGGGCAUCCUCAACUAACAUAGUACCAUCCACGCCCUUGAUGCACCUCUCUUUGUCAAAGUCACGAGCCCUUCGCUCCCUAGCCUUGGCAAGCCUAUACAAUUUUUUAUAUUAUAAUUGUUCAUAUUUAAUAUAUAUUAUUAAUUAUAGGGGUAAAUAUAAACAAAUUAACUAAUUUUGUCCUGAUUUAGGAAGUAAUCAACUACUCCCUCUGUUUCAUAUUAUGUGGUCCUUAUAAACUUGACACACCCAUUAAGAAAUCAAUAAAUAGAGAUUUGUUUUAUAUAUCUACCCUUAUAUGCCUUUUAAAGUGCAAUAGCUAAUGCAACAAUUAAAUAAUGAAAUUUGAACAUAUUACUCCAUCCUAUGCAUUACGCCUAGAACGUUGAAUAUUUAUAAUUGAAACUAGUAAUAAUCAUUUAAUGGGCGUUUGGUCAUGAAAAUUAAAACUUUUGAAGUUAAAUUUAGAGUUGAAGUUGGAAUUGAAGUUGGAGUUGCAAUUGUGUUUUUCAUGAAUAUAGUUGGAGUUGUUUUUGAAUUUUGUUGAGAGAGGGAUAUGGAAAAAAAUGAAAACAACUUUUUCUUGUUUUCCACUUUUUCAAAUCCAACUCAAGUUGUGUUUGAAAUUUUCAUGGCCAAACAUCAACUUGGAGUUGGAUUUGACAUAAAGUGAAUUUUUAUUUUUAUUUUUGAAAAAGUGAAAAAAUAUAAUGGUCAAACAGGCCCUUAAUUUUGGUUUGAGAAUUAAGAUCACUUAUGCACCAUUCAAUAAUUUUGAAAACUUUGAAUGUAUUUAAUACUCCUACCAAGUUAAGAAAGCCAACUAAUAUAAAUUGGAGUGAGUAAUAUGGGACAUUUAUUUUUGGCAGAAUACAUCGACACACCUCUUAACUUGACAUUAUUUUUUACUUUGGCACUUCAACUGAGUGGUGUCCAUUUUUAACACCUUAAGUAGUCAUCAACUGUGUCACUUUGACACAUUUUGCUGAUUUGACACAUCGUGUAUAUUGCACACACUUUGAGCGCGUGAAUAGCUUAAAAACUAUACUAAUUUUUAGUUUUCUUCUUCUUCUUUCUUUUGAUCUUCUUCAACACUUUUCUCCAUUUUUAUUCACCAACCACUCAACCCAACCACGAUUUCUUCCUUAAUGAUAGUCAAAAAUGGAGAAAAAUUAAUCUACCAUCACCUUCUUCUUUCAAUUUCUAUAAAUUCAUAAUUUUCAAUCUCUCAUUUUAGCUCAAUUUCUGCCUCAAUUUUAAGUUCAUUUAAUGAUGAAAAGUUUUGAAAUAGAGUUAGAGUUAACAUGAAAGAAUGAAUAGUGUCAAAUGCAAUUAGAUUGUGAAAAUUUCCACCAAUUUGAAAUCUCAAUAAAUUUUUAACAAUUUUUUUGGUGAUGAAUUCUUAACAGUUUUUUCUUUUUUCAAAAGAUGAUUGUGUAGUAGGAGGUAAUUGAAGAGAAGGUUUUAGAUGUGGGGAUGGGUAGGCAGAGGAGGUGAAACGGUGGUAGUAAUUGGAGAAGACUACCAAGGGGUAGGGAAGUGGGUGGGGUGGGGGUGGGGGUGGAUGAGGUGGAGAAGACAAAUUUGGUGAGGGUGGGGUAAUUAUAAUCUAUUUUUUUAUAAUUAUUUGGGUUAAAAAGUGUCAAGUGUCAAUAUUUAAUUGAAAUUUUUUUAUUUUAAUUAAAAUUAGUUGUUUAAAAAUUAAGUUGGAGAGAAAUGACAAAUGUCCGCAUUUUAUUCGUCAAUUUUAAUGUCAUUAGCGCAAAUAGCACACAUGUGGAGUAUUUUUUUGCUGGUUAUGAAAAAAGUGCUGAAAUGACACACUUGAGACUGCUUUAGUUGCUAAAAAUGUGCACCGUCCCCUUGAAGUGCCAAAGUGAAAGAUGGUGUCAAGUUAAGGGGCCUGCCGAUGUAUUCCGCAUUUAUUUUUAGUAAGAUGAUUAACUAAAAUGGGACGAAGGGAAUAGCAUAUAUGCUAAAAAAUUUAUCUCAAAAUUGUUGCUAAAACAUUGUUUCAAUAUAGUUAGAUUGUUUUAAAGAUCAACAGAUAAUUAACUAUUUCCCCCGUCUUAUAUUAGUUGUUGGCUAUUUUCUUUUAGUGGCGGAUCCAAGAUUUAAGGAUAGUGGGUACUUUUAAAAACUGAAAAAGUAAAAAACCAACUCAAUGAGGUUUGAAUCCGAGGCCUCCUUCCAAUGGGUGCUUUCAUAUGGUUUAUACCUAUUUUCAUAUAUUUUCUAUGUAAUUAUACUUAUUCCAUAUCGAGUUUAGUGGUGCUGCAGCACCCCCAAAAUCCUACAUAGGUCCGCCCCUGUUUUCUUUUUUAUACGCUUAUUAAGAAAUGAUAAAUAAAUAAAUUAAAAAGGCAUUUUUUACCAAUUCACCUUAAAAAACUUUUUAAAAACUUUACAAGUAAGUGUGAACACUUUAAAAAAAAAAAAAAUUGUUAGGAUAAUAUGAAAAAAUUUAAUUAAUGUUUUGUUGAUUUAGAAUCAUGGACAACUAAUAUACAACAACCAUUUUAGUAAUAUGAUCAACUAAUAUAGGACAAUUAUUUUAGUAAGAUGACCAAUUAAUAUGGAACAAAGAGAGUAUUUUUUGUUCAACUAUACCCUUAGAAAUUAAUUUUUAGAUUAAUUGAACAAGAUUCAAGUAAUCAAGAUUAAACAGAUAAUAUAGUCAUAUUACUCAAUCUAAAUCCCUUAUUAAUUUUUCUUAAGAGUUGUUCAAAUCUAUACAUGCCAACUAUCUUGAGACGAGAAGAGUAGUUGGAGAUUUUUGUCAAUAUACUUCGUGGACUCUGGUGUUUUGCCAUGCAGAUGUUCUACCAAAGUAUUUCAGCACUGAAUGGUUUUUGGACUGUGGCGCAGUCCCGCUUGCAAGAAGGUCUGCAGCACAUUGUGGCCUUUGGUCACCAAAAGAGUACGGUUGUGAUUCUUGGCAUGGAUGGCAGGUAAUUUUGUUAACAUAAGUACCUUUGGGAAGAAUCCUGGUGCGAGUGUGUCGCUUUGUAGUCUUUGUUUCUUUUUUCCAACAUUGUCCCAACUUUCGUGACAAGUGAAUUACAUCUUUGGAAUUGAACUACUAAUGCUUUGGUGCAUUGGAAAUGCAGUUUCUACCGAUGCCUGUUUGGUGCAGCAACUGGUGGGGAGAUGACCCUGUUCGAAUAUCAAUCUUGUUGCGUGCAUGUAACAGUUCCUUUUUCUAUUCACUGCCCUACUUCUGUGGCUUUUGUUUUUGCUGUAUCUAUUUAUGAAUUUGCAGGGGAACAUGGUAGUGACUGUAAAUAUGCUGGCUGUAUAGGUUGUUGGGUUCAUAGAAGUGUGAAUGAGAAAUAGAGAAGAAAUGGUGGAGGAAAAGGAGACACCAAAAUUGGAAAGUGUACUCCUAAUUUGGAAAGCUUACUCUUUCUCGCACAUUGGUGGAAGAAGAGAAUUUUUUAGUGCUUAUAUUGUGAAACACUUACUCCACAUGGUAAGUGAGGCAAGGAAAUAGAGAUGCCUCGCACCGUCGUCGCUCGCUUGGAUUUGAAUUUGGCAAAUGAUCGAUCGAUGAGAUCUAUCUUUUUGGAUAAAUUUUAUUUGACAAAAUCUGAACAAUGAUGAAAAACGCAGGAAAAUAUUUCUGAGUUUUAAUCCUUCAUUUACAUGCAGUAACAGUGACGCGAUGCUACUAUUUUAUGUGAACAGCAACACAGAACAGUUGCACUGCUUCGGAAAUGUUGCAUUGCUUCAGAACUGGUGCACUGUUUUAUGUUACUUAUUGCAUUGCUUCAGAACUGGUGCACUGUUUUAUGUUACUUAACUGAAAUGAUGCACUGGUUGAAUAAACAGAUGCAACCAUUCAGCAAAAGACACACUGAUUCAUCGAAAGAUAUAACUGUUCAGGAAAGGAUGCAAUCUUUGAUAAACAGACAUGAAUUUACAGCAAAGGUGCAACCUUUGGAGUGAACCAUUGCCUCCUUUCUAAAGCGGCAUCUUGUGGCUAUAAAUAACCUGGUUUUUAUCCACAGGUUAGAGAUAGAAAAUACAGAAAUUUUUAGAUUACAAAACAUUCUUAUUGUCUUAAAAAAUACUCCAAGUGUGAUCAUUCAAACCGUGAUUGUGUUCGAAGAAUCCGCCUAUUUAAGGUACCGCUAUAAUCGGAUUUAAGGUCAUUUUAUCCUGGAAGGAAGAUUCCAUAACCUCGGGUACAGUGAGGAGUAUUAAUCCUUAAGGAAAGUCCGUGAACUCGGACGAUUUGGCCUUAAUCAUUUCUGUUUCAUCUUUAUUUUCUGAAAAAUAAAUACACCUCUUGGAAAGGUCUUUUUGAUCUUGUGUUGAGGGUGUUUAAUACUUCAUUGUGUUCUUGUUCAUACUUGAACUCAAGUUGAAGUUGUUGUUCUGUGAUACAGAUUCUACAUACUCGUAUUGUGGAAAAUAACAUAGGUUACUGCUGUGUAUAAUGCCAGAUAACAAAAUCGCUAUGGACGUGUCUGUCAUCUUAGUGCUUGAAGUAUCUACUUAGUUUUGCUUGGGAACUAAACAAGUUGCUGCUUAAAGCCUGUCAAUUAUAUAAAGUUUUCAAUUUUAUACGUCUCAACUAUAGUCAACCUUCAGUCUUUCUAGUCCACAAUCCUGGAGAAAAGAUGCAAGCACUAAAAUAAAUGAACAAAUAGGAAAACUUUACAUUUUAGCUGGUCCGCAAGGUGCUCUAUACCACCAAAAGGCAUCUCAUGAAAUUCAAUGACGAUGUCGCUGGAAUAGUUCAACAAGAACCCCCUGUCUCCACACAAAGGAUUUACUCCUACAGACAAACGAACUGAAGGAGAGCUACUAAGGGGACUAUGUCUUAGCAUAUUUAUUUCAUUAAUCUGUACUCUAAAUAGCACAUCUACAGCAAAACAAAGGUAUUGCUGGCACUAAAUUGAAACACUAGACGUUCUGUGCUACAUACUUGCACAUUUCCAUAUCAGAUACAAAGAAGCAUAUGAAUCCCAUUUUAUAUAGGUAGUAAAUGGUAUUCCUCAUCUAAUAUGUAUGUAAAGCUACUUACAUCGUUCCUCAUAUUAAGAGUGAAAUGGCAUCUAAUUUUGAAGAUAAAGAAAAGGAUAAAAAAAAAUUGAAAAAAACAUUGAUUUUGCUCAUGAAUGGUUUGGUGUGAAAGCAAAAGAGAUGUUUCCACAGUUGCAUUGGAAGUGAAAUCUUUUCCAGAUGAGGAAAAAGAUAAACUUGCACCCUCUCCAUAAUGCUGUGAUAAAUCAAGAGAAAGUGCACACUUCCUUUAUCUUAAUUGAAACACAUUCAUGUUAAGAAAAGAUGGACCCAACACUGUAAUCAAAUGAGAUUGUGGCUGCACGAAAUGAGAAGUUCUUUCUAGUCAUUUCCCGUAAGAAAGUUUUACUAAAUUUGUAGCCUUUGAGAAAUCAAUGCACAAUAAUAUUGUAAGUUGUGUUGUCUGACAAGCAAACAUUUGUCACCAUUUCUUUUAGCAUAUCUGCAUACGCAUAGUUGUGCACCAGUCAGGGACUCCAGUACCAAAGGAGACUGGAAGGAAACAUCAAUAUGACCAUCUGCUCAUAUACUCAAAACACUACAAUGCCUAAGCCAAUCCCAGGAUGCAGCUUGCUUGAUGUGCCUUAUUUUGCAGCUGGAAGUGGACUCACUAGAUUUCAUCUUUACAGUUACAAAAUCAGAACAUAAUCAAAACAGACCAUAGUACCCACAAACACAAGGCAAACUUUCAAAACUUACUGCAAUAAUCAACCAACAGACGUCAAAUUUCAAAGAUUGGCACAUUCAUAUGUGAAAGAGAACAAGGAUAGUCACAAGCAUGUGAAUUGAUUGAGAGCCAGCGGUAUAAUUCUUCAAAUACUACUAGUUACUACAAAAACAAUCAGCAUACAAACAAGUUAACAUACUCCUUCACACCUAUGGAAAGUACCGCAACAAAAUUAUACAAUGAAAGAGCAAUUCCUCGAGAGUUAUCCUGCAGUCUUCAAAAACUAUACAAUUAUUGUAUCCUUCACACCUAUGGAAAGUACCGCAACAAAACUAUACAAUGAAAGAGCAAUUCCUCAAGGUUUAUCCUGCAGUCUUCAAAAACUAUACAAUUAUUGUACUAAAUGAAACAACAAAUCCACAUGUUCAAAAUGCUGUGAUAAAUCAAGAGAAAGUGCACACUUCCUUUAUCUUAAUUGAAACACAUUCAUGUUAAGAAAAGAUGGACCCAACACUGUAAUCAAAUGAGAUUGUGGCUGCACGAAAUGAGAAGUUCUUUCUAGUCAUUUCCCGUAAGAAAGUUUUACUAAAUUUGUAGCCUUUGAGAAAUCAAUGCACAAUAAUAUUGUAAGUUGUGUUGUCUGACAAGCAAACAUUUGUCACCAUUUCUUUUAGCAUAUCUGCAUACGCAUAGUUGUGCACCAGUCAGGGACUCCAGUACCAAAGGAGACUGGAAGGAAACAUCAAUAUGACCAUCUGCUCAUAUACUCAAAACACUACAAUGCCUAAGCCAAUCCCAGGAUGCAGCUUGCUUGAUGUGCCUUAUUUUGCAGCUGGAAGUGGACUCACUAGAUUUCAUCUUUACAGUUACAAAAUCAGAACAUAAUCAAAACAGACCAUAGUACCCACAAACACAAGGCAAACUUUCAAAACUUACUGCAAUAAUCAACCAACAGACGUCAAAUUUCAAAGAUUGGCACAUUCAUAUGUGAAAGAGAACAAGGAUAGUCACAAGCAUGUGAAUUGAUUGAGAGCCAGCGGUAUAAUUCUUCAAAUACUACUAGUUACUACAAAAACAAUCAGCAUACAAACAAGUUAACAUACUCCUUCACACCUAUGGAAAGUACCGCAACAAAACUAUACAAUGAAAGAGCAAUUCCUUGAGGUUUAUCCUGCAGUCUUCAAAAACUAUACAAUUAUUGUAUCCUUCACACCUAUGGAAAGUACCGCAACAAAACUAUACAAUGAAAGAGCAAUUCCUCGAGGUUUAUCCUGCAGUCUUCAAAAACUAUACAAUUAUUGUACUAAAUGAAACAGCAAACCCACAUGUUCAAAAUCAACCAACAGACGUCAAAUUUCAAAGAUUGGCACAUUCAUAUGUGAAAGAGAACAAGGAUAGUCACAAGCAUGUGAAUUGAUUGAGAGCCAGCGGUAUAAUUCUUCAAAUACUACUAGUUACUACAAAAACAAUCAGCAUACAAACAAGUUAACAUACUCCUUCACACCUAUGGAAAGUACCGCAACAAAACUAUACAAUGAAAGAGCAAUUCCUCGAGAGUUAUCCUGCAGUCUUCAAAAACUAUACAAUUAUUGUACUAAAUGAAACAGCAAACCCACAUGUUCAAAAUCAACCAACAGACGUCAAAUUUCAAAGAUUGGCACAUUCAUAUGUGAAAGAGAACAAGGAUAGUCACAAGCAUGUGAAUUGAUUGAGAGCCAGCGGUAUAAUUCUUCAAAUACUACUAGUUACUACAAAAACAAUCAGCAUACAAACAAGUUAACAUACUCCUUCACACCUAUGGAAAGUACCGCAACAAAACUAUACAAUGAAAGAGCAAUUCCUCGAGAGUUAUCCUGCAGUCUUCAAAAACUAUACAAUUAUUGUAUCCUUCACACCUAUGGAAAGUACCGCAACAAAACUAUACAAUGAAAGAGCAAUUCCUCGAGGUUUAUCCUGCAGUCUUCAAAAACUAUACAAUUAUUGUAUCCUUCACACCUAUGGAAAGUACCGCAACAAAACUAUACAAUGAAAGAGCAAUUCCUCGAGGUUUAUCCUGCAGUCUUCAAAAACUAUACAAUUAUUGUAUCCUUCACACCUAUGGAAAGUACCGCAACAAAACUAUACAAUGAAAGAGCAAUUCCUCGAGGUUUAUCCUGCAGUCUUCAAAAACUAUACAAUUAUUGUAUCCUUCACACCUAUGGAAAGUACCGCAACAAAACUAUACAAUGAAAGAGCAAUUCCUCGAGGUUUAUCCUGCAGUCUUCAAAAACUAUACAAUUAUUGUACUAAAUGAAACAGCAAACCCACAUGUUCAAAAUCAACCAACAGACGUCAAAUUUCAAAGAUUGGCACAUUCAUAUGUGAAAGAGAACAAGGAUAGUCACAAGCAUGUGAAUUGAUUGAGAGCCAGCGGUAUAAUUCUUCAAAUACUACUAGUUACUACCAAAAAAUAAAUAAAAUAAAAAUAAAAAUAAAAACAAACAGCCUACUUCACCAAAAACUAAAUAAGGCACACAAGUCAGCUUUCUAUAACAUAAGACAGGAAAUAAUUACUUAGAGCCUGCAAGGGAUUUCAGUUAACAACACUACCGGACCACUGAAUUUAUAUAAACAACUUAAAUCAAGAAAACCAACAAUAUUUGCACAAGUUAUCCUAUUAGCAUCUGUCACGGUUCCAAGUUCAAUCUUCUUCCAUCUAUAACACCCAAAAAGCUGCAGAAGAAACUAAUAUUUAUGCCAAAGUUUAUAAGCUAUCAUAAGUUCAAAAGCAUACCCACUGAAACAAACUUGUUACCAAAACCAACAGCUGAAAAACUAAAAGAAACAUGCCCUGAUCUAUACUUUACAACAAUUACCAAAAUUUGAGAAUACUUGAUGAAUGCAAUACAUUUUAAAGUGGUGCCAAUUACACAAAAUAAUCUCACAGCUUUUUUACUUAUCAAAUUGAGAUAAUAAGAUAAGACAAUGAAUAACCCAAGAGGCCAAAUUUAGACAAUAAGAUUAGAAAAUGAGAUACUUUCUAUGAUAUUUCCAAGCACAUUACACCAAGGUUAUCAAAACAUAACAGAAACCUACAUCCUACUGCUAGAAAUUCCCAUAAAACUAGACAAAAGAUUACUGCAUAUUUAACCCAUACAUAAAACUGCCAAAUCUAUUAGGCCUUCUUUGGUGACUUGGUGGCUCUGGGCGUCGAUGCUUUCUCCUCGGAAGCAGUAGAUUUCUUAGGCAACAGAACUGGGUUAAUGUUGGGGAGAACACCUCCACUUGCAAUGGUAACCCCAGCCAACAAUUUUCCCAGCUCUUCAUCAUUCCUCACUGCCAACAGCAAAUGCCUUGGAAUAAUCCUCGUUUUCUUGUUGUCUCUUGCUGCAUUUCCAGCCAACUCCAACACCUAUUAAAUAAAAUGAAUAGAUUAUUAUAAAAAUCAAUAGAAAAUUACAGAUCUGAGAUAAUUUAUUGGGUUUAUUAUACCUCAGCAGCGAGGUAUUCAAGAACAGCAGCGAGGUAAAUAGGAGCACCAGAUCCAACACGCUGAGCAUAACGACCUUUCUUCAAGAAACGAGCAAUACGACCAACUGGGAACUGAAGACCAGCUUUCACAGACUUAGUUACAGCCUUCUUCCUUGGGCCACCCUUCCUUCCUGCUGCACCUUUGGUUUGCUUAGCAGCAUCCAUUUCGACAAACAAACAAUAAGAUUUGAAGAGAGAAAAUUGCUUCUAGUGAUUUCCGCUUUGAGAAUUGAAUGCUGAUGAAGAAAAUGAAACGGUGGAGUUUGGUAUUUAUAGGAUAGAGAUGGAUUGCCACGCUGGCGAUCCGCGUGAGUGGUAUUGUUCUUUGACGGUGUGGAUUUGUUGUUUUCAUGUUAGAUCGUACGGUUAGGAAAAGCUUAAAAGAUGGCGAUCCGUGGUUAAGGGAAACAGCGAAUGAUUUUGUGACACGCGUAUAUGUUUGGUGAAUUGCAGUAAGAGGUGAAUCGUGCGCGGGGAAUUUGAAUUUUACUAAAUUUAUUUUUUGCGCCUAUUUGUGAAAACUUUCUUAGCAAGAGAAAUAAAUGGGAUAAUUAUUUUUAUUCCUAAUUAAGUGCUAUUUAUAAUUUACCCGUCAAUCUCAAUAUCUCAUAUACAGUCAUUAACGAUUUUGCUCUUGGUUAUUAAAGACCCUAGCUCCUAAACUUUAUUAAUACUAUAACUAAAUUGUGAUUUUGACACCCAUCAACAUAAAAUUUGCAUGAAUAUAAAAUGAUCCUACUCACUAGUUUUUUUCCAUUUUUUAACUAAAUAAAAUUCUUACAAAAUAGCCAAGUAAAUCUUUUUUUAUGUUGAUAAGAAUUAGAGCAUAAAAGGGAUUUUGUCUAAUUUGGAUGCUUAUUUAGGAGGUGUCAAAAAGACUUAUCAGUAAUUUGAGAUCUUAAUAAAAUGAUUAUAUAAUUUAUUCAAUAUUAGGUAUAAAUAUAAAUCAAUGUUAUUAAACCUUACAGGGAGAAUUCAGAUAACUUAAGCAUUUCAUAAAGGCAUAAUAUU